This is a long non-coding RNA of Capsicum annuum, 687 nucleotides long. RefSeq lists it as uncharacterized. The transcript has 3 exons. Lineage: Eukaryota; Viridiplantae; Streptophyta; Magnoliopsida; Solanales; Solanaceae. The record is from RefSeq and is a predicted model, not a curated record.
UUUAUCUACCAUCAUGCAAACCAGUAUCGUCACCGCCGCCGCCUCUAAUCAUCUCCUCUAUCCGCUACCAGCAUUGGCAGCAAGCCCAACGAUCAUCCGGCGAGAAAUGGCGAUGAAUUUGGACAAAGACGUGCCCCUCAUUUGAAUGAGAGAAUUCUGUCAUCUUUGUCUAGGAGGUCUGUUGCUGCCCAUCCAUGGCACGAUCUCGAGAUAGGGCCUUAAGCUCCAAGCGUUUUCAAUGUUAAUGAGUUUGAAAGAAAGAAACAAGAAAUAUUAGCUGCUCAAAGCGUAUCAAUUGUGGAAGGAGGAUGAGAAAGGAAUUAGAUUUGUUGAUGAAGCAUGUAUACAAGAAAUCAUCUGCAAAUGAUGAACACCAAUCUCAAGAAAAAAACCAAGCUUAUGAGGAUGAAAGUGAUGGUGACUCCGACGACGUGAAUGAAAGUGCUAAUCCUAAUAACGUGAAUGAAAAUGAUUCUGACCCUGAUGGUUGAUAGUUUUAUUGAGGAUUCAAGUUUAAAAUAUUUUGUUUGGGACCAUUUAAGAAUUUUACAUUAUUGAUGUGGAUGUUUUGAAUUAUGUUUUUUGUUAGUUGUAAGGGUUUACAUUAAAUUUGUAUUGAAUGAUGUUUUUGAGAAUUAUUGAAGGUUUUGAAUAAAUUUUUGAUUAAUUGUGAGGUGUUUCUAGUAA